GCCCCGGUGGCCUAGUGAUUAGAGCGUCCGCCUCGGAUGCGAAUAGUCGUGGGUCCGAUCCACGGUCGAGUCA
Molecule: non-coding RNA, 73 nt
Organism: Potamilus streckersoni
Lineage: Eukaryota; Metazoa; Mollusca; Bivalvia; Unionida; Unionidae
Source: the annotation of a GenBank genome assembly